UUAAAGUUUGUAAGUUUAAAACUAGUUUAGAGUUUACGCAAAGAGAGAUGAGCAACAGGUACAUAACUCAGCAUAUUAUCAUGCCAAAGGAAAAUAUGCACAACUAAGGUAACGCCAAACAAAACAACCACAGUGGCACAUUCCAAGCUCAGUUUGGUGUUGCAGCAAAAAUUACAUUAAGAAUAUAGAAAUAGCACUCACAGUUCAAUCACAGCAGCAUUCACAGUUCAGACAUUGCAGCAUUCAAUCCAGAAAAAUCCAAAAUACUCAGCCAGUCAACAACAAUAUUCAAACCAGAAAACAGAAGUCAGCUAACCUAAAGCCUCCUAGUGACUCGAACAAAAAUCCAGAACAGAAUUGAAAGCAAGUAAAAUAAGGCAGUAAAAAGGGAACAGGGCAGGGAGCUUGGGGGUAGAACCUGCGUUGCAGAAGAAGAAUGGGGGAAGAAAGGUGAAGGCGAGGCGGAGAGGGGUGCAGCGGCACAGAGGUCCGCCGCUGCUGAUGAAAGAUUGG
Non-coding RNA from Arachis ipaensis, 513 nucleotides. Lineage: Eukaryota; Viridiplantae; Streptophyta; Magnoliopsida; Fabales; Fabaceae. The record is from RefSeq and is a predicted model, not a curated record.